This 209-nucleotide unclassified non-coding RNA is filed under the name Hevea brasiliensis (rubber tree). Lineage: Eukaryota; Viridiplantae; Streptophyta; Magnoliopsida; Malpighiales; Euphorbiaceae. The record is from RNAcentral.
CUCACAUGAUGGAUAAGGAUAUCACCAAAGAAGUCACUAAUACUUAUGAUCCUAUCACCCCACCUUUUGUGCUAGAUAAUGUUGUUGAUAAUAACACUCACACUACCUCUAUUUCAUCCCCUGAAACACCAAGAAGCACACACUCUGAACCAGUUCUUAGUCCAAUACCUAUAAUUCCAACUGAAACAUAUAAUGAACCAGCCCUUAGG